Molecule: long non-coding RNA, 962 nt
Organism: Spodoptera frugiperda (fall armyworm)
Lineage: Eukaryota; Metazoa; Arthropoda; Insecta; Lepidoptera; Noctuidae
Exons: 2
Source: RefSeq, a predicted model, not a curated record
AUCCAUCCCUUAAAAAGAAUUACAACUUACAUUGCAAAGUUGUUGGGCACGUGUUGAGAUGUUUUCAAUUUCAUCACACCAUUUUCGUAUAGGAUGUAAUACCUAGCAAAAACGUACGAUUUUGAACUCUAUAGAUUACAAUUAAAUUAUAUAUAAAGAGAAAAAUUAUUUAAAAUCUAAUCUGAUUUCACACCUGACUGUUGCAGCUGUCUUUAUCGUGUAAUAUCGGUAAGUUUUAAUAUUAUUUCUCAGUAUUUUAUCCAACAAUUAAAAAACAUUACCAACAUUAUUAUCAGACGGUACAAUCAUUAUUUAAUAUGUCUAGUACAUAAGUCAAUAUUUAUUUCUACAUAACACUAUGUUUUAAUCAUAGUUGUUUUUAUUUUUAUUUAUCUUUUUGAGAUAAAAUAAUAGUAAAUGAAAUAUUAAUUUAGAGUGUUUUUUUUUCUAGGUAUUUAACAAAGUCUAGACGUAGAAUUGAAUAUGUCACGCUCACCUUCCUACAGUCCUGUUUUAGAUAACAUUGACCAACAACGUAACAAUUUGAUAGAGAGCUCAGAUCCAGUUUUUAAUCCAUUUUACUAUGCUCAAGACCGAGAGAGCUGGUACGCCGAAGUGUCGGCACAGGCAUGUGAGGAGAGUAGACAGCAAGAAAUAGAAAAGGAAAAAUUAAAGAAGAAAAAAAAUAAAUCAAAAUCUUUUAAAAACAAAUCCUUUGUCAUGCGUAAAGAGUCCGGGACCGUUCGCCGAAUAAUAAAAAUAAUUGUACAUGAUGUGGAUGGUCGUCAUAUGGACGAAAUAGACAGUGAUCCAGAUAGUGCAAGCGUCAAUAUACAAUAUUUAGUGCGAAGCGAUAUUGAUGAAAUCAUGAGUGAAACUGAGUAUUUAGUUACUAAAAUAGUUAAAAAGUUAAGUUCAACUUCAUGUAAUUGAUAUUUAAAAUAUAAUCAUUCUAAAUAUUA